Molecule: long non-coding RNA, 277 nt
Filed under: Danio rerio (zebrafish)
Lineage: Eukaryota; Metazoa; Chordata; Actinopteri; Cypriniformes; Danionidae
Description: lncRNA (ENSDARG00000117243.1)
Source: RNAcentral
UGGCGAUAUUGCUUUAUAAAGAAACAUGUGCACCUGCAAACUGUUUACAAAAGUUUGCAUCGUUAGGUCCUAAUACGUAAAGAACACCCAAAACACAUGAAAGGUUUUGGUGUAAACGGCAUGAAAGUUGGAAAUAUCAGAGAUUUUAAGGAAUAUUGUGCUCCAUAUUGUCAAGAUCACACUUGGGACACACUUGCUGAAGCUGUGGAUUAAAGGUAAUAAUGUUGAAAAAAUAUUCAUUUUCUUUAACAUUGUGAUUAGUUUUUUUAAGAAGAGC